AGCAAUUUUACGGUCCUUGAGGAGGUACCAUGAAGUAUCAUUUUUUUCUAUUGUAAAUUUGGUACCUCAUGGUACCUAGGUAAUGUGAGGUACCAUGAGGUACCAAAAUUUACACUAAGAUUUUGGUACCUCAUGGUACCUCCUCAAGGACCGUAGAAUUGCUCUAAAAU
RNAcentral lists this unclassified non-coding RNA (170 nucleotides) under Oryza sativa (Asian cultivated rice). RNAcentral's name for it is "partial microRNA MIR440e-2 precursor". The record is from RNAcentral. Lineage: Eukaryota; Viridiplantae; Streptophyta; Magnoliopsida; Poales; Poaceae.